Molecule: ribosomal RNA, 468 nt
Filed under: uncultured bacterium
Lineage: Bacteria
Description: partial 16S ribosomal RNA
Rfam family: Bacterial small subunit ribosomal RNA
Source: RNAcentral
GACGAACGCUGGUGGCGUGCUUAACACAUGCAAGUCGAACGGAAAGGCCCUGCUUUUGUGGGGUGCUCGAGUGGCGAACGGGUGAGUAACACGUGAGUAACCUGCCCUUGACUUUGGGAUAACUUCAGGAAACUGGGGCUAAUACCGGAUAGGAGCUCCUGCUGCAUGGUGGGGGUUGGAAAGUUUCGGCGGUUGGGGAUGGACUCGCGGCUUAUCAGCUUGUUGGUGGGGUAGUGGCUUACCAAGGCUUUGACGGGUAGCCGGCCUGAGAGGGUGACCGGCCACAUUGGGACUGAGAUACGGCCCAGACUCCUACGGGAGGCAGCAGUGGGGAAUAUUGCACAAUGGGCGGAAGCCUAAUGCAGCAACGCCGCGUGCGGGAUGACGGCCUUCGGGUUGUAAACCGCUUUCGCCUGUGACGAAGCGUGAGUGACGGUAAUGGGUAAAGAAGCACCGGCUAACUACGUG